GUGGGGAGCCGAUGGCUGGCGCGAGACAUGGCGUUAUACACGGCGGGUGCCGA
RNAcentral lists this small nucleolar RNA (53 nucleotides) under Pyrobaculum neutrophilum V24Sta. RNAcentral's name for it is "PNEsR42". The record is from RNAcentral. Lineage: Archaea; Thermoproteati; Thermoproteota; Thermoprotei; Thermoproteales; Thermoproteaceae.